AUGGGAACGCGAAGAACCUUACCUAGACUUGACAUCUCCUGAAUAGUGUAGAGAUACAUGAAGCCCUUCGGGGCAGGAAGACAGGUGGUGCAUGGUUGUCGUCAGCUCGUGUCGUGAGAUGUUGGGUUAAGUCCCGCAACGAGCGCAACCCUUAUUACUAGUUGCUACCAUUAAGUUGAGCACUCUGGUGAGACUGCCCGGGUUAACCGGGAGGAAGGCGGGGAUGACGUCAAAUCAUCAUGCCCCUUAUGUCUAGGGCAACACACGUGCUACAAUGGUGAGUACAGAUAGAUGCGAUACCGCAAGGUGGAGCCAAACUCUAAAACUCAUCCCAGUUCGGAUUGUAGGCUGCAACUCGCCUACAUGAAGUUGGAGUUGCUAGUAAUCGCGAAUCAGAAUGUCGCGGUGAAUACGUUCCCGGGUCUUGUACACACCG
RNAcentral lists this ribosomal RNA (436 nucleotides) under uncultured bacterium. RNAcentral describes it as "bacterial SSU rRNA". It matches the Rfam family "Bacterial small subunit ribosomal RNA", at positions 954 to 1392 of the family's 1533-position model. The record is from RNAcentral.